AUCACUUCAGGGGACUGAACC
This 21-nucleotide microRNA is filed under the name Oreochromis niloticus (Nile tilapia). RNAcentral describes it as "oni-miR-10953". Lineage: Eukaryota; Metazoa; Chordata; Actinopteri; Cichliformes; Cichlidae. The record is from miRBase by way of RNAcentral.